Anguilla rostrata (American eel) is the source of this 833-nucleotide long non-coding RNA. RefSeq lists it as uncharacterized. NCBI's taxonomy places the organism in Eukaryota, Metazoa, Chordata, Actinopteri, Anguilliformes, Anguillidae. The record is from RefSeq and is a predicted model, not a curated record. The transcript is spliced from 2 exons.
UAAACACAUGAAGGAGCUCUGCAGCGUUUCCUAGAUAGGAAAGUAAGGCUUCUGUUUUAGGCUACUAGCAUAUUCAGGGUCAUAACGCCCGUCGUUACGGCGUAUGUCAGGAGGCUACGGGACGAAUGCCUAGAUGGCAUCGACGGAUCGAAUGAUUACAGGAAAGUUCAACAGCUAGGCUAUCACAACAGGUGACUUAAUUAGGUUUUGCGAUUGGGCGCCAGGAUUCGUUUCUAAGGAAACGAAUGGAAUUACGCGACUCAGACGUCUCGUCCCUGUGCAGGCGCAGCUUCACGAAUUUGCUGUUUGAAAGAAUGUCAGCGUUAUAUGGAAUAAAUGAGUUUGGCCUCAUGUCUUCCAGAGUCCUUCCCUGGAAGCAAGACUGAAGAACUCAAAUCUCUGCCCUUCAUGUAGAUUUUCCGUGGCCACGUGGUGCAGUAAAGCCAUUUAGCCGUACCCUUGCUCCGAGGGGUAGCCGCGCUCCCAGUGGGGUCCAGCGUACGGGCCUGUGAUGGAUUGGGCUUACAGGGUGUUAGGGUGCUCCGGGACGAAGCAGGAGAACCCGGCCCUGGGAGAGAGGCUUCCUGCAGACGCUCUUUACCCUGGCGUCAGGGCUCUUUGUGUGCGCUUUAUCGCCGGGACGGCCCCAGGCGCCGCCGGGCGGGACGGGAUAAGUAGCGCGCGCUCUCCGCGCUCUCCGCGCUCCUGCCACUCUUUGAGGACGCGGCGUCUCCGGGGAUGUGCGCCUGUAAUGGCCAGCCGCUCCAGUUCUAAUGAUCUUCAAAAACACAGCUAUCGUUCAAACUGAUUAAACGUGCAGCCACUACAUUCAA